Molecule: long non-coding RNA, 355 nt
Organism: Zophobas morio
Lineage: Eukaryota; Metazoa; Arthropoda; Insecta; Coleoptera; Tenebrionidae
Exons: 3
Source: RefSeq, a predicted model, not a curated record
CAUAGUUCAUGACCAGCUAAGCUAAUUAAUUGUAUUACUGCCAUGGACACGAGCCGCAGUAUCUAGAAUGAGCGCUGAUCGAGAUUUGUAAUCAUUGUAACUGAAUAGCUAUUACCCACGCAUGAGACAAAAAAGAUGCUUACCAGUCAUCGCUUGUUCCCUGGCUACCUCAAAGCGUUAUUUGUUGAAUAUUGUGAAAGUUUUACUUUCCCGAAGAGGUCAGUGGAGUCAUGCAAGCUAAAACCUAACAGACACUUCACCUUCCUGGCGUUGAGUUUUGUCUUUACGGCACUCCUCUUCUAUCCUUCCUAAAUUUCCUAUCCUUCUAUGGUUUUUUCUAUUUGUAUUAUAAAUU